Molecule: ribosomal RNA, 240 nt
Filed under: uncultured bacterium
Lineage: Bacteria
Description: partial 16S ribosomal RNA
Rfam family: Bacterial small subunit ribosomal RNA
Source: RNAcentral
CGGCGAACGGUCGAGUAACACGUAACCAACUUGCCCCUUAGGUCUGGGAUAGCCCUUCGAAAGAGGGAGUAAUACCGGAUAGUCUCACGAUGUGACAUCGUAUUGUGAGUAAAGGCUUGUACGCCCAAGGAGAGGGUUGCGUCCUAUCAGCUGGUUGGCGGGGUAACGGCCCACCAAGGCGACGACGGGUAGCUGGUCUGAGAGGAUGAUCAGCCGGAUUGGGACUGAGACACGGCCCAA